CGCGUGAAUGAUGAAGGUCUUAGGAUUGUAAAAUUCUUUCACCGGGGACGAUAAUGACGGUACCCGGAGAAGAAGCCCCGGCUAACUUCGUGCCAGCAGCCGCGGUAAUACGAAGGGGGCUAGCGUUGCUCGGAAUUACUGGGCGUAAAGGGAGCGUAGGCGGACUGUUUAGUCAGAGGUGAAAGCCCAGGGCUCAACCUUGGAAUUGCCUUUGAUACUGGCAGUCUUGAGUACGGAAGAGGUAUGUGGAACUCCGAGUGUAGAGGUGAAAUUCGUAGAUAUUCGGAAGAACACCAGUGGCGAAGGCGACAUACUGGUCCGUUACUGACGCUGAGGCUCGAAAGCGUGGGGAGCAAACAGGAUUAGAUACCCUGGUAGUCCACGCCGUAAACGAUGAGUGCUAGUUGUCGGCAUGCAUGCAUGUCGGUGACGCAGCUAACGCAUUAAGCACUCCGCCU
This 458-nucleotide ribosomal RNA is filed under the name Caulobacter sp. RNAcentral's name for it is "bacterial SSU rRNA". It matches the Rfam family "Bacterial small subunit ribosomal RNA", at positions 398 to 874 of the family's 1533-position model. Lineage: Bacteria; Pseudomonadati; Pseudomonadota; Alphaproteobacteria; Caulobacterales; Caulobacteraceae. The record is from RNAcentral.